GCUCUUCAUAGUCAAUGCUCCAGCUCUUUUGUUCCUCUUCAAACUUAGCCCAGCGUCCAGGAUACCUCUGCCUGUUUGUGGACUGAACUUCCGUGUACCGUACCCUGUUAUCCAUCUGCAGAUGAUGGAGGGAGGAGAUGUUCGCUCAUUAACCGAGCUCGAGGUUGAACCAGGAUCAGACGAAUUCAUCCGAGGGAAGAGAAAGAAAGAAAUGAUUGCUGAUGACAUGCUACCCGGAGCCACCGGUAUCGGUGGUUAACUAUUGAUGCACUCUUACAUAAAGUGGCUGACCUCCCCCACGGACCUCUUGAACAUGAUGCCGGUGUUACGCAGAAAAUCCAGUCGGUCCAAACACCAUGGUGCAUCUGAAUGAGAUACAUCCACCAACAGCUGAAAGGACUUCACUUCCAUCCGGUGUUCGAGCUAAUGACUGCACAAGCCACUGGGACAGGAGUCGUCCAUCAAAGGCGUCUUUAAAAGCAGACGCCAAUGC
Molecule: long non-coding RNA, 493 nt
Organism: Anoplopoma fimbria (sablefish)
Lineage: Eukaryota; Metazoa; Chordata; Actinopteri; Perciformes; Anoplopomatidae
Exons: 4
Source: RefSeq, a predicted model, not a curated record